AGAGUUUGAUUCUGGCUCAGAACGAACGCUGGCGGCGUGGAUAAGACAUGCAAGUCGAACGGUGAUUAAAGAGUAGCAAUAUUUUUUAAUCAUAGUGGCGAAAGGGUGAGUAACACGUGGGUAAUUUGCCAUGAAGUUGGGGAUAGCCCCGAGAAAUCGGGAUUAAUACCGAAUGUGAAUCAUAAAGGGCAUCCUUUGUGGUUUGAAGCUGGGGACCUUCGGGCCUGGCGCUUCAUGAUAAGCCCGCGGCCUAUCAGCUUGUUGGUGGGGUAAAGGCCUACCAAGGCUCAGACGGGUAGCUGGUUUGAGAGGACGAUCAGUCACACUGGAACUGAGGCACGGUCCAGACACCUACGGGUGGCAGCAGUCGAGAAUCUUUCACAAUGGGCGAAAGCCUGAUGAAGCGACGCCGCGUGGGGGAUGAAUGCCUUCGGGUUGUAAACCCCUGUCAUCUGUUAACAAACCUUUUCGGGAAAUACUCGAAAAGCUGAUAGUCGCAGAAGAGGAAGGGACGGCUAACUCUGUGCCAGCAGCCGCGGUAAUACAGAGGUCCCAAGCGUUGUUCGGAUUCACUGGGCGUAAAGAGUGCGUAGGCGGUGAGGUAAGUUUGAUGUGAAAUCUCCGGGCUCAACCCGGAAACUGCAUUGAAUACUACCACACUGGAGGGUCGGAAGGGAGACUGGAAUUCUCGGUGUAGCAAAAUGCGUAGAUAUCGAGAGGAACACCAGUGGCGAAGGCGAGUCUCUAGACGAUUCCUGACGCUGAGGCACGAAAGCUAGGGGAGCAAACAGGAUUAGAUACCCUGGUAGUCCUAGCCGUAAACGGUGCACAUUUGCUGUGGGCGGAAUCGACCCCGUCCGUGGUGUAGCUAACGCGUUAAAUGUGCCGCCUGGGGAGUACGGUCGCAAGAUUAAAACUCAAAGAAAUUGACGGGGGCCUGCACAAGCGGUGGAGUAUGUGGCUUAAUUCGAUUCAACGCGAAGAACCUUACCUGGGCUUGACAUGCAAGUGUUAGGAACCUGAAAGGGCAACGACCUCGCAAGAGGAGCUUGCACAGGUGCUGCAUGGCUGUCGUCAGCUCGUGUCGUGAGAUGUUGGGUUAAGUCCCGCAACGAGCGCAACCCUCAUGUUCUGUUGCCACCCCUGCUAGCGCGGGGAGCACUCUGAACAGACUGCCUCAUUUAAAUGAGGAGGAAGGUGGGGAUGACGUCAAGUCAGUAUGGCCCUUACGCCUAGGGCUGCACACGUACUACAAUGCCCAGUACAAUGGGAAGCAAUAUCGCAAGGUGGAGCAAAUCCUAAAAACUGGGCUCAGUUCAGAUUGUCGGCUGCAACUCGCCGGCAUGAAGGAGGAAUCGCUAGUAAUGGCGCAUCAGCUACGGCGCCGUGAAUACGUUCCCAGGCCUUGUACACACCGCCCGUCACAUCAUGAAAGCUGACUGUACCCGAAGUCUGUGUGCCAACCUGCAAAGGAGGUAGCGGCCGAAGGUAUGGUUAGUGAUUGGGAUGAAGUCGUAACAAGGUA
RNAcentral lists this ribosomal RNA (1525 nucleotides) under metagenome. Its description in RNAcentral is "bacterial SSU rRNA". It matches the Rfam family "Bacterial small subunit ribosomal RNA". The record is from RNAcentral.